AUGGCCCUCGCGUUCGUGUCGUCUUCUCCGACUCCGUCGGCCGCCUCGACUGCUGCCGCCGCGCUGGCCGCGGCUGCUCUUGCCUCCCGCAUGGCCGCCCCGGCAGCUGGUGGCCGCCUGUCCCGCUCUGGACUCCCGCCGAGGUCGGAUGCGGCAGCAUCAAAGACGGCGCAGUCGAGCAUGCUUUCUCUGCCGAGCUCCCGGCCUCCCCCGCCCGGCGUGGCGACGUUGCCCGCCCUGGACACAGCGCGUGCUGCUCCAGGUCGUGCCCCUGGCCUGGUGGACGGAGGGCUUGGGUCCCCGCCGCGGAUUGGGUGUCUCCCGUCCCCGGCCUCUGCUGACGCUGCGACGUCGUCCCUGUUUGCUGCUGUGGGCGUGCCGUCCCCGACUCCUGCCGGCGUUGCUACGUCGUCCUCGACUCCUGCGGAAGUCUGGGCGCCACCUCCGGCUGCUGCUGCUGAAGCACCAACCACGACUACUGCUGGCCCCGCUACAUCGUCCAUGAACCCUGCUGGCUCCGCUACAUCGUCCUCGACUCCUGCAGAAGUGGCACCACCCUCAACUCCUGUCGGCACUGUGCUGGGUCUGGACAAGGCACAACCUGUUUUGUGGAGCUCUCUUACCGACGACGAAGAAGAUGAGGAGGACGAGGUGCUGGCCCGGCAGACACCGCCGCCUGCUACCAAAUCCUCAAUUCCGGCUGCUCGGCCGGGCGUGGCAUAUGAUGCGGAUUCGUGUGGAGGUUGGCAGAAGGUGUUGUCACGGGGCAACGUGCAACGUCCAGCGUCACUAGCCCCUACAUUGGCUCCUCGUCCUGUCCCUGCUUGGCUUCAUGGAAGAUGUUACAGAUGCCUCCUUCCCGGACACCGCGCAGCGGAGUGUCGAGAUCCUUUUAGGUGUUCUCGGUGUAGAAUGGUCAUCGGGCACGUGAGUGCCGCAAUGCCUGGCGUCCCCUCAGCUUUUUGGGAAGUCCUACUCUGUCACCAUUGCCUCGCCUCCCAGUCCGGCAGCAACAAGCUCCAGCUCCUCGCAAGCACCAGAAAGAAGCCUCGUCCCUCUCGAAGACGUUUGGUCGUGAUUCUUGGGCAUCAAUCGUUGCUUCUCCUGUUGGCUCCGUGUCCUUGGCGGAUUUCCCAGUGCGGCCUGCCUUGGAGAGGCAGGCCGAGUUGCUGCGCUCUGAGCUCCUUGGUAUGGCUUCCUUCCGGGUUGAGGAGACGGUCCAGCCUCUGCGUGAUGUCAUUGACUCCAUGCAAGGUUGGAUGUUGCGGAUGGAGAGCUUCAUUAUGCGAGCUGAGGCUACACUGGGCGCGCUCUCGCUAG
RNAcentral lists this ribosomal RNA (1320 nucleotides) under Triticum aestivum (bread wheat). Its description in RNAcentral is "partial small subunit ribosomal RNA". The record is from RNAcentral. Lineage: Eukaryota; Viridiplantae; Streptophyta; Magnoliopsida; Poales; Poaceae.